UAGGGAAUAUUAGUCAUGGGCGAAAGCCUGAACUAGCAACACCGCGUGUGCGAAGAAGGCCUUCGGGUUGUAAAACACUUUUUGAGAGGAUGAGGGAGGACGGUACUCUCAGAAUAAGUCUCGGCUAACUACGUGCCAGCAGCCGCGGUAACACGUAGGAGGCAAACGUUAUCCGGAUUUACUGGGCGUAAAGCGCGUGUAGGUGGUUUGGUAAGUCGAGCGUGAAAGCUUCUGGCUCAACUGGGAGACGUCUGUCUAAACUGCCGGGCUAGAGUAUGGUAGAGGUGGGUGGAAUUCCGGGUGUAGCGGUGGAAUGAGCAGAUAUCCGGAGGAACACCAGUGGCGAAAGCGGCCUCCUGGACCACUCCUGACACUCAGGCGCGAAAGCUAGGGUAGCAAACG
RNAcentral lists this ribosomal RNA (402 nucleotides) under uncultured prokaryote. RNAcentral describes it as "bacterial SSU rRNA". It matches the Rfam family "Bacterial small subunit ribosomal RNA", at positions 355 to 774 of the family's 1533-position model. The record is from RNAcentral.